RNAcentral lists this ribosomal RNA (444 nucleotides) under uncultured bacterium. RNAcentral describes it as "partial 16S ribosomal RNA". It matches the Rfam family "Bacterial small subunit ribosomal RNA", at positions 354 to 796 of the family's 1533-position model. The record is from RNAcentral.
GUAGGGAAUAUUGGGCAAUGGUCGGAAGACUGACCCAGCCAUGCCGCGUGCAGGAAGACGGCCCUCUGGGUUGUAAACUGCUUUUAUCUGGGAAGAAAAAGGCCAUGCGUGGCAAAUUGCCGGUACCAGAUGAAUAAGCACCGGCUAACUCCGUGCCAGCAGCCGCGGUAAUACGGAGGGUGCGAGCGUUGUCCGGAUUUAUUGGGUUUAAAGGGUGCGUAGGCGGCUGAUUAAGUCAGCGGUGAAAGACUUCGGCUUAACCGGAGCAGUGCCGUUGAUACUGGUUGGCUUGAGUGUCGGAGGGGUAAAUGGAAUUGAUGGUGUAGCGGUGAAAUGCAUAGAUACCAUCAGGAACACCGAUAGCGAAGGCAUUGUACUGGCCGACAACUGACGCUGAUGCACGAAAGUGUGGGGAUCGAACAGGAUUAGAAACCCGGGUAGUCC